CAUUACUGAAGAAAUGGCAUGGUUGAGCUGGCUCCUCGGAGCAUGUGCUUGCCUUGUCGCUUUUUCUACUUUCCACUGUGCACCUUAUGUAGGCUUUAUGAUCCUUUGGGAAAGGGGACCUCGUCCCUUUUAUCAAUCGUUGUAAAUGCCUAUGUCUACAUACACCAAUAAAGUCUAUGAAUGUCUUAUCGUUGGUCUUGACUGACCGAUAAAAACCUAUACAACUUUCAGCAACGGAUCUCUUGGCUCUCGCAUCGAUGAAGAACGCAGCGAAAUGCGAUAAGUAAUGUGAAUUGCAGAAUUCAGUGAAUCAUCGAAUCUUUGAACGCACCUUGCGCCCUUUGGUAUUCCGAAGGGCAUGCCUGUUUGAGUGUCAUUAAAUUCUCAAAACCCAGUCGGUUUUACAUCGACCGGGAUCUUGGACUGUGAGGGUUGCUGGUCCUUGAUCAGACUCCCUUUAAAUACAUUAGUGGUUACCGAUCCGCUUCCACUUGGUGUGAUAGUCUAUCUACGCCUAUUGGAAUGAUCAGUUGUUAUCCGCUGUCGAACCGUCUUCGGACAACUCUUGACAAUUUGACCUCAAAUCAGGUAGGACUACCC
Molecule: ribosomal RNA, 600 nt
Filed under: uncultured Basidiomycota
Lineage: Eukaryota; Fungi; Basidiomycota
Description: eukaryotic LSU rRNA
Rfam family: 5.8S ribosomal RNA (bases 223-376)
Source: RNAcentral